This 73-nucleotide transfer RNA is filed under the name Ailuropoda melanoleuca (giant panda). It matches the Rfam family "tRNA". From Rfam's summary of the family: Transfer RNA (tRNA) molecules are approximately 80 nucleotides in length. Their secondary structure includes four short double-helical elements and three loops (D, anti-codon, and T loops). Further hydrogen bonds mediate the characteristic L-shaped molecular structure. tRNAs have two regions of fundamental functional importance: the anti-codon, which is responsible for specific mRNA codon recognition, and the 3' end, to which the tRNAs corresponding amino acid is attached (by aminoacyl-tRNA synthetases). tRNAs cope with the degeneracy of the genetic code in two manners: having more than one tRNA (with a specific anti-codon) for a particular amino acid; and 'wobble' base-pairing, i.e. permitting non-standard base-pairing at the 3rd anti-codon position. Lineage: Eukaryota; Metazoa; Chordata; Mammalia; Carnivora; Ursidae. The record is from Rfam by way of RNAcentral.
GCCUGGUUGGCUCAGUCAGCAGAGCGUAGGACUCUUGAUCUCAGGGUUGUGAGUUCAAGCCCCAUGUUGGGUG